Manacus vitellinus (golden-collared manakin) is the source of this 455-nucleotide long non-coding RNA. RefSeq lists it as uncharacterized. NCBI's taxonomy places the organism in Eukaryota, Metazoa, Chordata, Aves, Passeriformes, Pipridae. The record is from RefSeq and is a predicted model, not a curated record. The transcript has 3 exons.
UCUAAGGCAGCAGAAAACUUGUGCAUGUGUAUUUAUUUUUUUCUAACUAGCAUUUUUUUUCUAUUAUUUUUAUUUCCAACUGACUCGGUUUUAUUUUAAUCGAGAGCCCCUAGGACUAGUUGUAAUGAUAUGAAUGGUUAAAGCGGGAAGAGCUCAAGGCUCGAGAAUACUCUCUCCUCGGAAGAAAAUACCAGACAUCCCAGAGAAACAGCCGUGCAGAGCAGGAGCCAGACUUUGCCAGGUGUCAGGAAGAUGAGUCUUUAUUGAAGAGUAACCAGCGUUGCCACUCUCCAUAGGCCCUUUACCACCUUUGAAGGAGACUUUCUUGGUGCCUGCAAGAAUCUCAGGCUGGACCCAAGGGGUGCUCUGCACAGACUCCCUGGAAUGAACACUGCUCUGCAUCCCUUCAGGAUGUGCAGGUUCCUGCACUGGGCUGACUGAAGAUAUGCUAUCAG